Molecule: ribosomal RNA, 589 nt
Filed under: Fusarium tonkinense
Lineage: Eukaryota; Fungi; Ascomycota; Sordariomycetes; Hypocreales; Nectriaceae
Description: partial 28S ribosomal RNA
Rfam family: Eukaryotic large subunit ribosomal RNA
Source: RNAcentral
UUGACCUCGAAUCAGGUAGGAAUACCCGCUGAACUUAAGCAUAUCAAUAAGCGGAGGAAAAGAAACCAACAGGGAUUGCCCCAGUAACGGCGAGUGAAGCGGCAACAGCUCAAAUUUGAAAUCUGGCUCUCGGGCCCGAGUUGUAAUUUGUAGAGGAUGCUUUUGGUGAGGUGCCUUCCGAGUUCCCUGGAACGGGACGCCAUAGAGGGUGAGAGCCCCGUCUGGUUGGACACCGAUCCUCUGUAAAGCUCCUUCGACGAGUCGAGUAGUUUGGGAAUGCUGCUCUAAAUGGGAGGUAUAUGUCUUCUAAAGCUAAAUACCGGCCAGAGACCGAUAGCGCACAAGUAGAGUGAUCGAAAGAUGAAAAGAACUUUGAAAAGAGAGUUAAACAGUACGUGAAAUUGUUGAAAGGGAAGCGCUUGUGACCAGACUUGGGCUUGGUUGAUCAUCCGGGGUUCUCCCCGGUGCACUCUUCCGGCUCAGGCCAGCAUCAGUUCGCCCUGGGGGACAAAGGCUUCGGGAAUGUGGCUCUCUCCGGGGAGUGUUAUAGCCCGUUGCGUAAUACCCUGUGGCGGACUGAGGUUCGCGC